Triticum aestivum (bread wheat) is the source of this 135-nucleotide non-coding RNA. Lineage: Eukaryota; Viridiplantae; Streptophyta; Magnoliopsida; Poales; Poaceae. The record is from Rfam.
UAAAUACUCCCUCCGUCCGAAAAUACUUGUCAUCAAAAUGGAUAAAAAGAGAUGUAUCUAAAACUAAAAUACGUCUAGAUACAUUUCCUUUUAUCCAUUUUGAUGACAAGUAUUUCCAGACGGAGGGAGUAUUUG